This 331-nucleotide unclassified non-coding RNA is filed under the name soil metagenome. RNAcentral's name for it is "partial contains 5.8S ribosomal RNA, internal transcribed spacer 2, and large subunit ribosomal RNA". The stretch from base 1 to 120 matches the Rfam family "5.8S ribosomal RNA", at positions 35 to 154 of the family's 154-position model. The record is from RNAcentral.
GAUGAAGAACGCAGCGAAACGCGAUAUGUAAUGUGAAUUGCAGAAUUCAGUGAAUCAUCGAAUCUUUGAACGCACAUUGCGCCCCCUGGUAUUCCGGGGGGCAUGCCUGUUCGAGCGUCAUUUCACCACUCAAGCCUCGCUUGGUAUUGGGCAACGCGGUCCGCCGCGUGCCUCAAAUCGACCGGCUGGGUCUUCUGUCCCCUAAGCGUUGUGGAAACUAUUCGCUAAAGGGUGUUCGGGAGGCUACGCCGUAAAACAACCCCAUUUCUAAGGUUGACCUCGGAUCAGGUAGGGAUACCCGCUGAACUUAAGCAUAUCAAUAAGCGGAGGA